UAGGGAAUCUUGCGCAAUGGGCGAAAGCCUGACGCAGCCACGCCGCGUGAGGGAUGAAGGCUCUCGGGUUGUAAACCUCUUUCAGCAGGGACGAAAAUGACGGUACCUGCAGAAGAAGCCCCGGCUAACUCCGUGCCAGCAGCCGCGGUAAUACGGGGGGGGCAAGCGUUGUUCGGAUUUACUGGGCGUAAAGAGCUCGUAGGCGGCUUGCUUAGUCGAACGUGAAAUCCCUUGGCUCAACUGAGGAACUGCGUCCGAUACUGGCAGGCUUGAAUCCGGGAGAGGGAUGCGGAAUUCCAGGUGUAGCGGUGAAAUGCGUAGAUAUCUGGAGGAACACCGGUGGCGAAGGCGGCAUCCUGGACCGGCAUUGACGCUGAGGAGCGAAAGCCAGGGUAGCAAACGGG
RNAcentral lists this ribosomal RNA (404 nucleotides) under uncultured bacterium. RNAcentral describes it as "bacterial SSU rRNA". It matches the Rfam family "Bacterial small subunit ribosomal RNA", at positions 355 to 776 of the family's 1533-position model. The record is from RNAcentral.